ACAUUCUAAAGUUGAUCAAAUUGUAAUUUAUGUAAUUAACAUUUUCAACGUAGGCACAGCAUCAUGUGAGAAGCUCACUGCCAUUCUGUUAGCUCCACGGUUUGUGAAGGACGUAGAGAAGAUAAGCCCUGUGUACCACACAUCCACCUUGGAGGCUUUCCACAGCCUCAUCAUCAGAUUUACUCCAAAAAGUCAGGUCUUCUCCUUCAAAGGAAUGCUGUCUAGAUUACAAAUUGCUGCAAUGCACUAUAAUGAAAAUGCAGCACGCUCACAUGCAGCAACAGCAACUGGUGAGCUGAGAUAUGCUGUAGUGUACCCAAAGUACAAACAUGGAGACUACACAGUGAGAGCCCUGAAGACCAAUCCAACCUCAUUAUAUGUGCACAAGCUUAUGGACCUGCUGUUCGACUCUGUGGUGGUGGAUCCUCUCCCAUAUCAGGAGUACUCGGACAAAAUUCCGGUUCCAGAACCUCUCUGUGCCCAGUUCCAAAGACCAGAUAAACGGGAUGCUGUGAGCAGGCACAGGUCCAGGUUUUAAAGUGCACGUAAGGUGAGCUACACAACAAGAGAUUGUAAUUAUUAGUUAGUACUCUACUCUGUGUGGUUUUUCCUUUUCUCCUCCUCAGCCAGGCUGCACACCACUGUACGACAGAGGAGUUACCUGUCGUCAUUAUGGAUCUUUAUGCUCAUCCACUCGUGACUCAUGCUGUCCACCUCCCAGAUGUCUAUUGAUCUCUACAACCUUUCUGCUCUGUGGCUCCCAUACAACUUGAAAAUCUUGGCCAGCCUCCUGAUAUUGUUACAGAAAAGCCUGUGCUCCCGGGAUCCAUCUCCACGUUUGUCAUCACAGUGAAAGCUACCUCCAGUCUAAGGAACCAAAGAAACAUCACUGAUGGCCCAAC
This is a non-coding RNA of Nothobranchius furzeri (turquoise killifish), 902 nucleotides long. NCBI's taxonomy places the organism in Eukaryota, Metazoa, Chordata, Actinopteri, Cyprinodontiformes, Nothobranchiidae. The record is from RefSeq and is a predicted model, not a curated record.